GGAAAUAUAGCUUAGUUGUUAAAGUGCUUGCCUCACAUGCACAAGGCCCUGGGUUCAAUCCCCAGCACCACCA
This 73-nucleotide transfer RNA is filed under the name Ictidomys tridecemlineatus (thirteen-lined ground squirrel). Its description in RNAcentral is "Spermophilus tridecemlineatus (thirteen-lined ground squirrel) tRNA". It matches the Rfam family "tRNA". Rfam says of the family: Transfer RNA (tRNA) molecules are approximately 80 nucleotides in length. The record is from Rfam by way of RNAcentral. Lineage: Eukaryota; Metazoa; Chordata; Mammalia; Rodentia; Sciuridae.